Molecule: ribosomal RNA, 460 nt
Filed under: uncultured bacterium
Lineage: Bacteria
Description: partial 16S ribosomal RNA
Rfam family: Bacterial small subunit ribosomal RNA
Source: RNAcentral
CCUACGGGAGGCAGCAGUGAGGAAUAUUGGUCAAUGGACGAGAGUCUGAACCAGCCAAGUAGCGUGAAGGAUGACUGCCCUAUGGGUUGUAAACUUCUUUUAUAAAGGAAUAAAACGAGGCACGUGUGCCUUUUUGCAUGUACUUUAUGAAUAAGGAUCGGCUAACUCCGUGCCAGCAGCCGCGGUAAUACGGAGGAUCCGAGCGUUAUCCGGAUUUAUUGGGUUUAAAGGGAGCGUAGAUGGGUUGUUAAGUCAGUUGUGAAAGUUUGGGGCUCAACCGUAAAAUUGCAAUUGAUACUGGUAGUCUUGAGUACAGUUGAGGUAGGCGGAAUUCGUGGUGUAGCGGUGAAAUGCUUAGAGAUCACGAAGAACCCCGAUUGCGAAGGCAGCUUACUAAACUGUGACUGACAUUGAUGCUCGAAAGUGUGGGUAUCAAACAGGAUUAGAUACCCGGGUAGUC